UACGUAGGGGGCUAGCGUUGUCCGGAUUUACUGGGCGUAAAGAGCGCGCAGGCGGUCGUCCAAGUCGCGUGUGAAAGCCCCCGGCUCAACUGGGGAGGGUCACGCGAUACUGUUCGACUCGAAGGCAGGAGAGGGUAGUGGAAUUCCCGGUGUAGUGGUGAAAUGCGUAGAUAUCGGGAGGAACACCAGUGGCGAAGGCGACUACCUGGCCUGUUCUUGACGCUGAGGCGCGAAAGCUAGGGUAGCAAACGGG
This 253-nucleotide ribosomal RNA is filed under the name uncultured bacterium. RNAcentral's name for it is "partial 16S ribosomal RNA". It matches the Rfam family "Bacterial small subunit ribosomal RNA", at positions 524 to 776 of the family's 1533-position model. The record is from RNAcentral.